Molecule: long non-coding RNA, 443 nt
Filed under: Rattus norvegicus (Norway rat)
Lineage: Eukaryota; Metazoa; Chordata; Mammalia; Rodentia; Muridae
Description: long non-coding RNA NONRATT020228
Source: RNAcentral
CGCGCGGCGCGAUGACCGGGAGGCAUGUUUCAAGAGUCCGGUCUUUAUAUAGGCGAAUCUUGCAGCUACAUCGGGCUCUACCCCCAGACCUCAAAGCCCUGGGUGACCAGUACGUGAAGGACGAAUUUAGGAGACAUAAGACCGUUGGUCCUGGCGAGGCCCAGCGUUUCUUAAAGGAAUGGGAGUGAGACCUCCAAGGAAGGAGAUGCCAAGUAGUGCUUCAAAGCUUCGGACCACAAUCAAACACAGCAUCCUUUUCAACAGAAGCAGAAGCUCAUCUGAAUAUGCUCAAGGAUGCUGACAUCAACAUUUAAUCAUCUGCUCACUCAUCCAGGAAGAAGGGGGAGAUCAGUUACUACUGUAACUUUAUUGUGUUCAACCAAAUCACCAUGUUACAAAAAUAGCAAGCUGCCAUAAUAAAAAAUAAAGCUCCUCUAUCCAGC